RNAcentral lists this ribosomal RNA (426 nucleotides) under uncultured bacterium. RNAcentral's name for it is "bacterial SSU rRNA". It matches the Rfam family "Bacterial small subunit ribosomal RNA", at positions 355 to 775 of the family's 1533-position model. The record is from RNAcentral.
UGGGGAAUCUUGCGCAAUGGGGGCAACCCUGACGCAGCGACGCCGCGUGAGUGAUGAAGGCCUUCGGGUUGUAAAGCUCUGUGGAGGGAGACGAAUAAGCGUUGGCUAACAUCCAAUGUGAUGACGGUAUCCUUUUAGCAAGCACCGGCUAACUCUGUGCCAGCAGCCGCGGUAAGACAGAGGGUGCAAACGUUGUUCGGAAUUACUGGGCGUAAAGCGCGUGUAGGCUGCUCCGAAAGUCAGGUGUGAAAGCCCCGGGCUCAACCUGGAAGUGCACUUGAAACCUCGGAGCUUGAAUGCUGGAGAGGGAAGCGGAAUUCUCGGUGUAGAGGUGAAAUUCGUAGAUAUCGAGAGGAACACCGGUGGCGAAGGCGGCUUCCUGGACAGUUAUUGACGCUGAGACGCGAAAGCGUGGGGAGCAAACAG